GGCGGACGGCUCAGGACAACGGUUGCACCCCCCGCGGCGGUCCCUGCUAGCCGGACACCGCUGGCAACCCGGCGCCAAGACGUGCGCGCAAGUGCGGACGCCCGCGGGCGAGCAGCGUGACGCAGANACGGCCCGCCCGGGCUUCCGGGGCAUCAUCCGGUCGAUCCUGCC
Molecule: ribosomal RNA, 171 nt
Filed under: Giardia duodenalis
Lineage: Eukaryota; Fornicata; Diplomonadida; Hexamitidae
Description: Giardia intestinalis partial 18S ribosomal RNA
Source: RNAcentral